RNAcentral lists this ribosomal RNA (1192 nucleotides) under Triticum aestivum (bread wheat). RNAcentral describes it as "partial small subunit ribosomal RNA". The record is from RNAcentral. Lineage: Eukaryota; Viridiplantae; Streptophyta; Magnoliopsida; Poales; Poaceae.
UUAGGGGGAGGUGGUGACUGGCACGGCCGGCGGGAUCUAGCUGGGCUCGUGAUGGCGGCCGCAGGGGGUGUUGGCGUCGGGACGGCGGCCGCAGGGGUGGUGGCGUGGGGGUAGCGGUCGCAGGGGGUGGUGGUGUCGGGACGGCGGAGGGGAUCGAUGGGGUGGUGGUGUCCGGUGGGAUCUAGGACUCAAGACGUCGGCUGUCGGGCGUAGUUGUGUCGGGGCGGUGGCGUCCGUCGGGAGGUGGGAUUGCCAGGCUAGUGACGGCGGAAACGGGGGUUGGUGGGGUGUAGUCGCGAUUGCUCGUGCCUCGUGGGGGUGUCUGCUGGUGAUAGUGGCUCGCUGAGGUGGUGGCUUGCGGAGGGGUUCGUCCCGAAGGGGAGGUGGACUCGUCCGUUCCUAGCUCGCCCUGACGGAGGAGCUGCAGGAGAGGCUAGGUGGUUCGUCGUCUCACAGGGAGAAGAGGGUACUGGUUGAGUGAUGGUAUAGUUGUAGGAUACAGACGGAGGAGACGGGGUAGUUCUCGUAAACACCGCCACCCCUGCUGGGUUAAGUACUCCUACAUCUAGGUCCCUCGUAACUGGGAGAAGAUUUUCUUUUUCUUCGCACUACGCCUACGAAAAGCUGUUAAGUAUCGACUACUAUCGCUCCUCGAAAUAGGUCCCACGUAUGUUGGAAGAAUUUCGAUGCAAAACAACAAUCCGAUGAGGUAUAGUUUAGAGAACCUCCUUUUUCUUACCUUAUUCUUUCUCUGAUUCUGUUACAAGUUCUUGCUCGCCUUCUCUCCGAUCGCUCUUAAUCUUGUUCUUUGCUGCUCCUAAAACUUACUAAAUCGGCGGAAUGUAAAAGUUUAUAUUUACUUCUUAAACCUCCGGGUAGAUCAGUCGCUGUUUGAUUUUCCUUCUUCGACAUCCGAAGGGUUUCCACGUGUUCAAGUGAUUCCAAACCUCCUAGAAGUUCGACGACUUCUAAAUCUUCUAGAUGUUACAGGGCGCAGAAAAAAAAUUGGAUCUGUAAACGAGAUGAGUAAAACCACCACCAAACCAACGCACCGUGAUGAAAUCAAACCAACACCCCAUUUGUAUAUAUACAUGAGGAAAGUACCGUGUUGGAGACAUAUAUAACAGCAAUACAAAUAGUUUACUUCAAAUUCCAAAAACUACUUCGGAUAUACAAUGUAACUAACUUCACG